GUGCUCACUUGGGCAGCACGUAUACUAAAAUUGGAACCAUACAGAGAAGAUUAGCAUGGCACCUGCGCAAGGAUGCCAUGAAAAUUCACGAAGCGUUCCAUAUUAGG
Small nuclear RNA from Piliocolobus tephrosceles (Ugandan red Colobus), 107 nucleotides. NCBI's taxonomy places the organism in Eukaryota, Metazoa, Chordata, Mammalia, Primates, Cercopithecidae. The record is from Ensembl.